UACGUAGGAGACGAGCGUUGUCCGGAGUUACUGGGCGUAAAGGGUGCGCAGGUGGCGGCGCGCGUGGGGGGUGAAAUCGCCCGGCUUAACUGGGCGGGGGCCUUCCAGACGGCGUGGCUUGAGCAGCGGAGGGGGACGUGGAAUUCCGGGUGGAGCGGUGAAAUGCGUAGAGAUCGGGUGGAACACCAGCGGCGAAGGCGGCAUCCUGGCCCUGUACUGACGCUGAGGCGCGAUAGCGUGGGGAGCAAACGGG
Molecule: ribosomal RNA, 253 nt
Filed under: uncultured bacterium
Lineage: Bacteria
Description: partial 16S ribosomal RNA
Rfam family: Bacterial small subunit ribosomal RNA
Source: RNAcentral